This 388-nucleotide ribosomal RNA is filed under the name uncultured eukaryote. Its description in RNAcentral is "bacterial SSU rRNA". It matches the Rfam family "Bacterial small subunit ribosomal RNA", at positions 104 to 524 of the family's 1533-position model. The record is from RNAcentral.
GGGUGAGUAACGCGUAAGAACCUGCCCUUGGGAGGGGAACAACAACUGGAAACGGUUGCUAAUACCCCGUAGGCUGAGGAGCAAAAGGAGAAAUCCGCCCAAGGAGGGGCUCGCGUCUGAUUAGCUAGUUGAUGAGGCAAUAGCUUACCAAGGCGAUGAUCAGUAGCUGGUCCGAGAGGAUGAUCAGCCACACUGGGACUGAGACACGGCCCAGACUCCUACGGGAGGCAGCAGUGGGGAAUUUUCCGCAAUGGGCGAAAGCCUGACGGAGCAAUGCCGCGUGGAGGUGGAAGGCCUACGGGUCGUCAACUUCUUUUCUCGGAGAAGAAACAAUGACGGUAUCUGAGGAAUAAGCAUCGGCUAACUCUGUGCCAGCAGCCGCGGUAAU